Molecule: long non-coding RNA, 1968 nt
Organism: Malaclemys terrapin pileata
Lineage: Eukaryota; Metazoa; Chordata; Testudines; Emydidae
Exons: 2
Source: RefSeq, a predicted model, not a curated record
AAACAGCAAAUAAUGAAUUAAUAAUCCCUGCAUUAUAAUCUAUCUCAGUCUGAAUAUAAUAACAUUGUCAAGAUCUGAUUUUUUUUUAUUGCUAUAUGCAAUCAAAGAUUUAUGCUCUGCAUUCCAUUACAAUCUCUCACCUUGCUUAAUGGCACCACCAGUGUGAUUCAUUGUUGAAUCUGACCCUCUUUUCAGAAAGGUGUUGCUAAUUUGAAGACUAGUAAUUGCAAAUGCAUUUCUGAUAAACUGAGUUAGUUGAUCUUUGAGUGCCACAUAUGUAGAUUCCAGCAAAUCUGCUACCGUAAAAGGAAUUAUGCAAAACUGGAUCCCACAAAUUGUAAAAUUAGACCCAACUAGCUGACGGAAUUGGGGUUUUAUUGUAGAAUGAGUGUACCAGACUAACACGGCUGCUACUCUGAAACCUGUACCAGACUUGGAAUCGAUUCCCAGCUCUGCCAUUGACGUGCUUGUUGACCUUGAGCAAGUCAUAACCAUUCUGGGCCUCAGUUUCCCCACCCAUUAAUGGAGAUAACACUCACUUUUCACAAUGCUUUGAGAUCUGAGGAUUGAAAAUGUUUCUGAUAACACAGAUAGGGCUUGAUUUUUCAGAGGUGAUGAGCACCUGCAGCUUCCACUGAGUCUAGUUUGAUGAGCCAGUGGUUUUAUGCACCAUAGGCCUGAUUGUCAUCUUGCUUAUACUCACAUAACUCCAUUGAGAGCUGUGGAGUAACUCCUGAUUUACACCCGUAGGAAUGGAGAAUCAGGCCACCUGCUCUUCUCUCUAUUACACCUGCUGGUAAUUACUUCCACCUUUAAAGUGGCUUUAAAUUGAGAACAAAUUUUAUAAUCAAUCAUUCCAAAUAUAUUUAACAGUCAGACUAACUCCUGGGCCAGGGGCUCUCAUACUUCACAGAGCAUGAACCCUCAUCAUUCAUGUUAAUGGAGUAUCUUCUGAACAUCUCCCCUGCCAAUCAUGAGUGCAUAUCUCACCUGCCUUCCUAUUUCUGAUCCCAUAACAUCCCUGGUGCAACUACAGCAAUUGCGUAGGUGGAGAAGUAUUUGUAUAUUUUAGCUGUCUUCAAUGUGGUAUAAAGCCCUUUUGUUUUUUUCAUUGACUCUUCAAAUCCUAUCUAUUCUUUUCCUCUCUCUGCCCCUACUCCACAGCACAUGUUUCUCUGCCACUUGUUCCCAAUCUCUUCCCUUUCUCCUGGAUGUAUUUCCCAGUAGCUUAGUCCUCCUCUUCCCCCAGCUCCCCGUCUCCCUUACUCACCCGCCUGGUCUGCUUUAUUCAUACUUCCCUGGACAUACAGCCUGGCCAUCUCUUUUUAGUCUUCCAUGAACAUUUGUCCACAGUCCCCGUGAGUAGUCUUUGCUUCCUCUCUAUAGUAUAGGGAGUUGGCAGAUGACAUUAUUAUAGUUUUACAUGUUCUGUUUGACUGACCCCAUAGGCAAUUAGAUCUUGGAGAAAUGAUAGUAUGGUGCAAGUUAGUGGGGGAUUGGGUUUUUUUUUGUUGUGCUUUCUUUUAAGCAGAAAUUAAGCAGACACUAAAGCUGCUUCUCUGUGCCUUGGUCUUUCUGACUCAAUUGCUUCAUCAGUGCCAAGCUGUUGUCUACAGAAUAUAAUCAUGCAAGUGUAAAAGCAUUUAGUUCCAAAUAAUCUCAAACACACAUUUCUCAUGAAGGGAAAGAAACUUAUAACAGAGUAGAAAAUAAUUUACAUUCCUUAGCUUUCCUCAUUUCUCCAAGGCUCCCACCUACUUAACCCCAGGUAAACUUUGUAUCAGCUUAUGACAUCCGGUGAAAGUACACUACAGCUUAUUAAAAUUUAAAGCCAUUGCUCCCAGGGAAAACACUGAAAGCUAUUUUAUGGAUUAGCCAGUGGGCAGGAUGAGGCUUGUACUUUGUAUCUUUUUGAUAAUAUAGCCUGUUAGAAUAUCUUUAUAAAAUAAAAGUCAUCCCCCCUGUGCA